This 275-nucleotide ribosomal RNA is filed under the name uncultured bacterium. RNAcentral's name for it is "partial 16S ribosomal RNA". It matches the Rfam family "Bacterial small subunit ribosomal RNA", at positions 338 to 606 of the family's 1533-position model. The record is from RNAcentral.
CCUACGGGGGGCUGCAGUGGGGAAUUUUGCGCAAUGGGCGAAAGCCUGACGCAGCAACGCCGCGUGUGUGAUGAAGGUCUUUGGAUUGUAAAGCACUUUCGACCGGGACGAAAACCCUCUGGCUAACAUCCAGGGGCUUGACGGUACCGGGAGAAGAAGCACCGGCUAACUCUGUGCCAGCAGCCGCGGUAAUACAGAGGGUGCAAGCGUUGUUCGGAAUUAUUGGGCGUAAAGCGCGUGUAGGCGGCUUUGCAAGUCGGAUGUGAAAGCCCUCG